AGCGAACGCUGGCGGCAGGCUUAACACAUGCAAGUCGAGCGGGCACCUUCGGGUGUCAGCGGCAGACGGGUGAGUAACACGUGGGAACGUGCCCUUUGGUUCGGAACAACUCCGGGAAACUGGAGCUAAUACCGGAUAAGCCCUUCGGGGAAAGGAUUAUCGCCAAAGGAUCGGCCCGCGUCUGAUUAGCUAGUUGGUGAGGUAAUGGCUCACCAAGGCGACGAUCAGUAGCUGGUCUGAGAGGAUGAUCAGCCACACUGGGACUGAGACACGGCCCACGACUCCUACGGGAGGCAGCAGUGGGGAAGUAUUGGACAAUGGGCGCAAGCCUGAUCCAGCCAUGCCGCGUGAGUGAUGAAGGCCCUAGGGUUGUAAAGCUCUUUCGGCGGGGGACGAUAAU
Molecule: ribosomal RNA, 400 nt
Filed under: uncultured bacterium
Lineage: Bacteria
Description: bacterial SSU rRNA
Rfam family: Bacterial small subunit ribosomal RNA
Source: RNAcentral